Molecule: small nucleolar RNA, 216 nt
Organism: Phymastichus coffea
Lineage: Eukaryota; Metazoa; Arthropoda; Insecta; Hymenoptera; Eulophidae
Product: small nucleolar RNA U3
Exons: 1
Source: RefSeq, a predicted model, not a curated record
AAGAUCAUACUUCACAGGAUCAUUUCUGUAGUAUAUCUUCACAGACUUUCUACCCAAAGUAGGAGUCGAUGCAACCACGAUGAGGAGACGUAGCUCUCCUUCCUGAGCGUGAGAACGGCUUGAGAUUUCGGCUUUGCUGAAAUUUCAGUCCAUCGAUGAUCGUUCACCUUCUGUUCUCUGAAUGGAAGGCAUGGAAGGGUGAGCUGUCUGAGUGGC